RNA transcript from Dipodomys ordii (Ord's kangaroo rat), 4490 nucleotides. It is a transcript of the gene named Ras association (RalGDS/AF-6) domain family member 6, with no coding region annotated. Lineage: Eukaryota; Metazoa; Chordata; Mammalia; Rodentia; Heteromyidae. The transcript has 12 exons. The record is from RefSeq and is a predicted model, not a curated record.
CCGCUGGCCCAAAGCUAGCUAGCUGCCCGGCCACCACCAGCCUUCCGAACCAACCUUCCUGCAGCGAGCUCAGCCCGACCACAAGCUCCCCCGGCUCAAAGUGAAGAACAGGGGAACCUCAGACCAUCUUGUAAAGCGGUGAAUGAUGACUAUGAUGGCUCACCAGUACCCUUCUUGGAUCUUCAUCAAUGAGAGGACUUUCAUAACCAGGGAACAACUCAAUACUUUAUUGAAGACCUACAACAUUUUCUAUGAGAACCAGAAAAAUCUGCAUAUUUUAUAUGGACAGACUGAAGACGGGGAUGUCAUUGUUGAAGGAAUGCUAGACAUUUCCUGGGGCAUCAAACGGCCCAUACAGCUGAAAAUACAGGAUGACAAGCAAAUCUCUUGUUUUACUAUGUCAAAGCCACCAGAUGCCUUUUCCAGCAAUGGGAGAAUGACACGCUGGGGAGAAUUUGAUGACCUAUAUCACAUUAGUGAGCUGGACAAGACUCAGAUUCCUGUGUCUGAAAUGAAGAAUUCCCUUGAAGACUAUUUAUCUUGUCACAGCAGCACUUUGAAGCCAUAUACAGAAGAGGAACCAAGAUCCCCUUUGUUAUAUAGAACCAUGAGUGAAGCAGCCCUAGUGGGAAGAAGGACCAGGCUUCCAAUGAUGGACAGAAAAGACAGACAGAACCAGAGGGCCUCCAUUAACGGACACUUCUAUAACCAUGAAACGUCAAUUUUCACCCCAGCCUUUGGAUCAGAAACAAAGGUCAGGAUCAACAGUAGCAUGAGAACUGAAGAAGUAAUAAAGCAGCUCCUACAAAAAUUUAAGAUUGAGAACAGUCCUCAAGAUUUUGCUCUUUACAUUAUUUUUGCAACAGGAGAGCAGAGACGGCUAAAGAAGACAGAUAUUCCACUCUUACAGAGACUCCUACAAGGGCCUUCCAAAAACAAUGCUCGUCUUUUCCUCAUGGACAAAGAUGCAGAAGAAAUCAGCAGUGAUGUGGCUCAGUACAUUAACUUCCAUUUUUCUCUCUUGGAAUCCAUUCUUCAAAGACUAAAGGAAGAAGAGAAAAGAGAGAUUCAAAGGACAAUUAUGAAAUUCAAUACUGAAAAAGCCAUUAUACUGAGAUGUCUACAAAGUAAACAGAUAGUAAAAACAGAGACAACGGUCUAGUAGAGCAAGUCUCUAGGGCUAAAAUACUUCAACAGAUGCAUUUGAUGAACUUAUCAAGUCUGUACUUGCAUUGGAAUAUGCACUAGCCUUGAAUCUAAUCUGUAGGAACUGAGUGCCAGAAAAGCUGCAUCUCUCUGAAGUAAGGGGACUACCUAGCGUUCACAGCUGGACUAAAAUGAGAUUGGUGGAGUUUCAGUAACGGAAAAGGAUUAUGGUGGAUAAAAUAAAGUUAUUGUCACCGUGCCAGGCAGGAUGUGCGGCCCUGGGUCCUCUCUGCACCCUUGUUGUUCUGCAAGGUAUUCCCAAGUCUGUUAAAUCCAUUUGGACAAAACACUGUGCAAUUGUAUUUAUGAACUCUGUACUAAAAUGGAGUUUGGUGUAACUUUCUUCCGUUCCCUGUGCUGCUUCUAUUUGCGUUUUUCUUCAGUUUGUAUGAAGUUGUUGGAUCACAUGACCUGAAAGAAGGAAGGAAUAACUGCAGAUGUAAUAAACCUAGCUAAAAGAUUAGCUAUCAAUAUUAAAAAUGUGAAACAUUUUUAAGAUAAAAAUCUUACUUCUCCAUAUCAUGAAAAGGUGAACUUUGACCUUUGUAGUCCUCAGAGAUCUCUCACUGAGUAAAACACAGACUUGCAUCUUUAUCCUUCUCCUACUGAAGAAUAAGAAAAUCAGUUCAUCUUAUUAAAAUAAGGCAAGUGUGAUCAUUAAAGCUCGGAGUACUUAUAAAAAUUAUAAGCGAGUAUCAAAUGUCUUCCAUAAACAUAACAAUAGAUGAAUCUUACUUUGUAAGUGUGUAAGGAAUGUACCAAGGCUUCACUGUGAAAAAAAGGAGAGCUGGUGUGCAAAAAAUACACAUUAGAGAAAAUGCACAUAAUUUCUACGUAUAUGAAAGAAUUGUCUCAAUAGUGGUUAAAACCUUGUAACUGGCUUUACUAAUCUGUGUUCCAUGAGUAAUCAGAAACAGUGGAGUAAUUUAACGUGAGAAAGCAGUAUGUGUUAUAUUAUUAAGUUUUAUUAGGACAGCAACAGUGAGAUGGAAGUAGAAGCCUCCUAAAGCUAAAGGAGACCCUUAAAAGCAAGAAACAAGAAAUGAGGGUUUCCGAAUUGCAGGGGAAGGUGAAUCUGCAGCCCAAUGGAUGACAGUUCUCGGGCUACCCAGGCCACUGUGGUUCCCCACUUGUCAAACAUACUCUGGAAAGUGGAUGAGGGAGGCAGGCUUUUCUACAGACGGGCACAAAGCAGAGAGGGAUAGAACCUUAUCUUCAUUCAGAGGCUGUUGGACUUGGUGCUGAAGAGGCUUCUUCUGUAAGAGUCUGUUUCAUGUGGUCUGGGGCACAUUCAGAGCUGCACAGGAUUAAGGACAGGGCACAGGCUUCGCUAGAAGGCCAGCAUUCUGUGUGAGUGUGCAGUGAGACAAGAUAAACUACAAGGAUAGCAGCGAUUUGAGCUAAAGGACUGGCAGGCACUGGGCUCUAAUUUGUACCACCACUGCCCAAAUCGAAAGCUGAAGAGGCAAGUGGGAGAGUGAAUGCUGGAAAAAGCUGCUCCUGGCAGGAGCCUAGCACAGGAGAAACCAAUCUAGGCAAAGUAGUGGAGGAAAAACAAUCCCAUCCACCAGGAGCCUGCCUGGCCAACCCAUAGGUAGCAGAAGGGAGACAUUGACUGCAUGGAUGGAUCUCCAGCACCCUCUACUGGCACCAAAUAGCAUUGUGCAGACUGCUAAAGAAACAGCAGGCAACAAACACAGUUUAGAGUUGAGACAAUAAAUAUUGUGUCAUGUCAACACAACCAAACGUAUAUUAGAAAUGAUUAAAACAACAAAUUACAAGAAGGCACCCUAACAACUGGUAAACCCAAAUGGACAUAAUUUUUCUGCAAGAUAAGUUAGUAGUAACCUUAUUUUAUAUGAUCUUAUGAAAACAUAUUCUGCAGCUAUUUAUUAUACCAUUAUUUAUAGUCACAAAAGAAAGUAAACAGCCUAAAAUAUUCAAAAUAUAGAAGUGAUUUAAAAAAUCUACUCACAGAAUGAUAUAUUGUUUUUAAAAUUAUAUAUGUAAGAUAAUUGCAGAACUAAAUUAUCCUUAUAUAUCUAAAUAAAGAAUAUACACAUAUAUACUAGAACAUAAUUUAUUGUACAUUAGACAUAUCUGUAUUACGUACUUAUACAUCAAUACACACUCACAAACCAAAAAGGAACUUUCCUAUCUUCCCUAGAAAUAUGGAAGAUUCAUACUUUUUAAAUAUCUCUAUAUUUAGUAAAUGUUAUGUAAUAAUAUAUGUUGUUUUUAAAUCAAGAAAUAAAAAGUUGUGAUUCAAAAUUACCAACAAAAAGUAGCAAGUACAUGCAAGAGCAGAAUUCUAGAUGCAAAGGAAAACAACAACAUCAUGGUUCAAAUGUUCAUUCACAUCGCUUCUGUGAGAUGUUGAAUAUAUGUCCAUAAAAACUUUGGUACUUUUCCUUUCAAAAUAUGGCACUUAAUCUCUCUUACCUUUAGAUGAGCUAGACUUGAGAUGCCUUUUCAUUGUAUUAUUAAUUGAAAAGAAAGGAUUACAUGUUUAGGGGGUUCAGUGUGAUCUAUGUAUACAUUGCGGAACAAACAAAUCAAGCUAACUAAUAUGUACCACCUCUCACCCUUAUCGUUUCUUUAUGAUGCACAUUUAAGUCUAUUCCUUUAGCAAUUAGUGACCUCUACUAAAUAGAAAGGGCAAAAGGGAGAGCAAGUGGAUUUGGAGAUCAGAUCACACAAGUUCCCAUGGCUUCCUCCUUGCUGUCUGCUUGGGAUCACUUCAUUCAGGGGAAAACAGCCAUCAAGGCCUGAGCAGCGCUGAGGAGAAGCCUCAACCAUGAGGUAUUGAGAUCUUUUGCAAAAGCUAUCCGGGGAACUGCGGCCUCCUGAAAACUGCUACAUGAGCGGCCAUCUUGGAAGUGAAUCAGCUAGCCUUGGUCAAGUCUUUCGUGGCCCUAAUAGCUUGACUGCAGCUUUCAGAAAGAUUCUGAACUUCUCCUAAACCUCAGAAAGAGAAGAAACGCUGGCUUUGCUCUACUGUGCUAUACUGUGUAACUUGUCCCACAGCAGUGGAGAACUAAGAACAAUUUCUGAGGGGAAAAAAAUGUGUUGACUUUAAAGUUCUUUUUGCAUAAUACAAGAUCACAAACUUUCAUCAGAAAAAUACCAUCCUUGAUUUAAAUGGUCUGGAUAUUUCAUUACACUUACACAUUGCUUAAAAUUAAAUUCUAAAUAAUAUGGUUAGUAAUGGUAGAAAACCAUCACAUUCACUUAUAUAUGUCUUGUACUUCAUAUUAUGCAUCUGAUGUGCUCAAUAAAAUUAA